AGCUGCACCUCCACUCGGGAGGUUGUUAUCAAUUUAUCACUCUGCUUUCGUGGAGGGAGUUCAAACGGACUUCAAGAUUGAACCAUCGUUUGGAGUUGAAGCCUCGCAGCUUUAUCCUGAUGUCAAGUACACUACAGUUGAUGAGUACCUCAAUCAGUUUGUGUAACCCUUCUCUGCUUCCAGCUGCAGCUUGCAGGAUCUUGGACUCUGGGUAAAUAAAUAAUGGGCUUGUUGCAAUCUUUGGUUUUUAUAUGUAAAAAUUAUGGUUGUUGGCCUUACUUUCUUCUGGUUGUCAAUGGAAUUUGUAAGACCAUUUUAUGUUUGCUAUGUCAGUGAUCAAAUGAAGUAGGCCAUGUACUUGAUCUGAGAAUAAUUAUAAAGCCAACAUGGUCAGGUGAGUGCGUCUGUGGGGCUUUUAUUAGGGUGCGUGUGUGAGGCUUCUGAGGGGCUUGUGAUAUGGGGUCUACAGCCCCUAAUGGGCACGCGACUGCGUGCACUAAAUGAAGUUAUUAUAAAAAUAAUUAUAGAGUCACCAAGGCAAAAAUUAAAAGUAAUUUGCCAAUAAAAAUAGUUAAAAGUAAUAAAAAGUAGGUAUUAUAUUUCAAAAAUCAAUUUUUCAUUAAUGUUUAUAAGAUUAAAUUUGUUCUUAUCUUUCCUUAAUAAACACAAAAAUUUAUCGUUUUGGACUAAUUAAAAUUUUAAAACUAGCUAACAAGCAAACCGCCAUUAAUUUUUUUUUUUCCAUUUCUUUAAUCAUUCUUUUUUCUCUUUUUGACCUUUUUCUUUUUCUUUUCUUCAGUCCUUAUUUUUCUUUUCUUUUUUGGUUUUCCUCUAAACUCUUUAAGAAAGGCUGCCAAGCCUUGAAAAUAUCUCAAAAAAUAAGAUUUUCUUUCUUAAGAUUAACAUUUUAACCACAAAAAUAAAACUCUAGUCCAAACAUUGAGCACUUACAAAUCAAACGAUAAAAACCUCUUAUUAGUACAUUAACCGUAAAAUAAAAAAGAAUUAUCACAAAUAUUGAAAUGUUGUUGUUUGAUGCUUGAGAUUCUUGAAAUGUAUGCAGAAUUCCGACAAUAUUUUGUUGAAGCAACUCUCGGAAACUUGUUUGUUGAGAUUGAUGAAGAGUCCAUGGCAAGUAACCAGGCAUAUUGCAAUCCUUGUAAUUAUUCUGACCGAGAACAAUAAAACAAAAAGUGAAAACUGAAGAAAAUGAUAAGAAAACAAUAGAAUAAUAAUAUUAAAAACUCGCUAAUCUUGCCCAAUUUUUUUUUUUUUUGGAUAAUGUUCAGCGUAUACUAGAAUCUUUUAGAGCAGAAGCAAAACAGCAACAACUUUUCAAGAAAAGAAAAAAAAAAAGAAUUAUUAAAGAAAAUGGAAAAAAGAAUUAACGGCAGUUUAUUUGAUAGCUUUUAGAUAGCCAAAACCGGUGAGUUUUUGUGUUUUAAUAAGGAUAGUUAGGAAUAAAUUUAAUCCUCUCUAUAGAAUCAUUUAGUUACUAUGUGUCAAAAUCUCCUGUAAAGAAUAGGAAAAAUUAAAUUAGAAGAGGAUCCAAAUCAGGACUUGACUAGCUUACAGAAUCUGUAAGCUACGGACUGCAGCAUCAGCCGUUGGAUGUGGUUGGAUGUGGAGUGAGAAAUUAAACAAUAGAAGAUCGGAUGGUGGGAUGACGGGAGAUGUUUGUUACAGAAUCUGUACCAUAGACAGGUCCUCCAAAUCAUCAACAUCUUGGAAUAAACAAAAGAAUCUAAACAAAAGAAACUCGUUUUGCGUGUGAACCAGUUCAAGAUAAAGAGCAGACUAUUGGAAAGAGACAAAUACUACAAGAAUAACAAAACAUUCUACAGUUACUACAUAAGCCUGCAACAAUUAAUUAUUAACUCAAGAUUUAUUACACUUUUUCUUUAAUUUGACAAAGAAACCAAAAAUGAAAUAAAAUUGACAACAGCAAUGAUAUGCUUACAACAAUGAGUAUGAAACUUAGUACAACAAGGACCUUUUUGCUAAUUUUUUCAAAUUUUUAUGAUAUUUUAGAAUUUAUGGGUUUUAUUGAUUUUGAUAAAUUGGAGCAUUUCUCCAUUCAUCUUUUCUGCAUCUAUCCCUAAAUUUCUUAUCUUUGUAAAGUUUUAACUAUGUCUUUGUAAAGUUCUAAAUGAUUAUCUCGUUCAUAGAGAUCUAUAGUUAAAUUAAUUCUUGUAUUUAUAAUCAUUUGUCUCCUUUGAGACAUAGACCAAAUUUUUUCUUCUAACAUUCCUAUGUAUAUUCCUAAGCUAUAUUUCCAGCUUAGGUACAUCUUAUCUAGGAUUUCACAAAUAAAUUGUAAUUUGAGAUCUGCAUCUUGAAUCAACAUCACCAUAUUAUUAUUAUUAUUAUUAUUAUUAUUAUUAUCCAUUGUUUUAUACUCGAUUUUGGGUUCUAUUACUAGUCGCACUUGUCUUGGAUUAUUUCAAGGCUAGAUAGAAUUGAUUCUAUUAAUGCUAUCCUGUUUCCUUCUUCAAAUGAAUCGAAUAUUUUUGGAUCAAUAAUUCUUUUCAUUUCUUCAUACAAGUGUUUGCUUGUAAUUAAUCUAGUUUUAACUAUGGAAAUUGUAUAAGCAACUUGAUAUUCUUGACUAAAGUCUAGAUGAUCAAUUGCGUCUAGAAAUUUAUUAACAGAUCUUUCCAUUUUUAUGAAAUUGAGUUACUUUUAUCACUUCCUAUCUUAUAACAUUUCAGAAUACAAACAAGGCCCAACAUGCUUCCAUUUGUUGCUAAAAUAAAAGAAUAGAGUUCAAGAUUACUAACCAGUGUACAUUUCUCGGAAUUCUAAGAUAGAUUCACUAAUUGCCUCCAACCAUAGAGAGGUCUAUGGUUAACUCCGCCAUAGCUCCACACAUCAUAUAAGAUCACUUCAACGACUGUUACAUAGGCCCAACGCAACAUAUAGCAAACGGGCCUAAAAGAAUAUGUCUAAGUGAUUUGCUUACAGCUGUCUCUGGAAGAGUGCUUAGUAGUAGAAAAUCUUCUUCCUUUAGCACAAGUAUUGGCAUGUAAGGUUCUUGGUUAUUUUCUAAGAGUAUAUAAGAUAUCUGGAAGAUGACAAUUUCGCUCAAAAGAGUUUUAUUUAUUUCAUCAUUGAAAUUAUUUACAGAGGAUGGUUACAGAGAAUACAGGUGUAGGUGUAGGUGUAGGUGUAGGUGUAGGUGUAGGUGAAGGUUAGGCAUGUGAUGUCCUUCCCUUCUUACAUGUUUCUAUUUAUAAUCUUAAAUAGAUAAGGUUAUCUCUUUUACAUGACACUUGUUUAAUUCUCUUGGUGGAUUGUGGAUUCUUUCCUGAUAAGGUGACCCUUCUUCUUUUUAUCAUUAAAGACAGUGGUUGUCUUCUUUUCCUGGUGGUAGACAGCCUUUAUCUGGUUGUAGUGUGCUUUAUCUUUUUGGAAUCUUUCUUUUUGAAUUAUUAAUGCUUUUAGGAUAGCACCUUUUAUCUUUUCCAAUGGUUCCUGUCACAUGCCAAGUAUCAAAUCUUCCUCUAGUGACAUGUCUUCCCCACUAGAAUCCUUUUUUGAUCCUUCGUAGCAGUAGCCACAUGAUGACUGAUGUUUUAGCACCUUGCAUACCUCGUGAUGUGUCAGUAAGCUGGAUUCCACGAGAUUUUCAUAUAUUGCCUUUUUCUUUUUUGAUAUGGCCUGUCUGGCUAAAAUGCUUUCUUUUCUACUUAUAGAAAAGAUUAUAUGCUCCUUUGUGGCUUCGUGGAGCCAUAUUUUUUCCUCACUUAUCCUCUCAAGAGAUUCAUAGAGGACUUUCAUUCCUACGGCUCUUUUGCUGGUGAGAGCUUUGGGUUCGAAAAAUUCAGGAUCAUAAUCAUUAUAGACUUGAUCUAUAUCAAUAGUUGGACUAACUUUUUGCUGCUAAUUCUAACUUAAAUCAUGUGCUGUGCUACCACUUGUUUUCACCGUAUUAAGGGCAAGCAGUGAGGAUCUUGAUAAAAAUUAGUUCUUUUGUUUUGGAUAUCCUUUUGUGGUCAUUAACAGCCUCUGUAUUUUUUUCUAGGAGCUCUUUUAUUUUCCUACAAUCAUCACGGACAUAAACAAGGUUAAGAAAACCGUAUUCAAACAUGUCUUUUAUCAAUUUUGGAUAAGCUCCUAGCACAAAUUUUAUCCUUGGGUAUAACCCUGAAUGAUAUGGUAUUAUAGUCUGGUUAUGAUGAAUCACAUAAGUUAUUUUACCAAUUCUUUUAUAAUUAUAAGCGUUGUCGCUUCCUAAUGGAUUUUUAACCAUAGGAACAGACUGUCCGCUUUUAUUAUAUUGGGGCCUUAAGCUCACUGAAGACCUUUGAGAUUCUUCUUUCUUCAUAUAUUAUUCUUUGAGAUCAUUGAUUGUGAGAAAUUUCUCUAGAUGUGUGACCUUUGAGUUCUGUGAAGAACUCUGGGCAAUCUGAUCCUUAGUUUGAUCCUUAAAAUGGACCUUUUUUUAGCAUAUUACUAAUAGAUUGUUAUGAAAUUUGGACUUCUGGAUGAUUUUGCAAACUUUUCUAUAGGCAAAGUUUGCUCAAUUCUUCAUGGGCAUCAUCUAUCAUGGCAAGCCUAUUAUAAAUUAUACCAUUGCCUUUGAGAAGCAAUUCUUGACCUUCAGAGCACAUUAUUAUGCCCUUAAUUAUUUUGGAAAGACCCUUCUCCAUUGUAUUCUCGGCUAAGAAAAUUUGCAAUAGAAUUGUUAGAUCCUUUAAUAUAUUCAAUUUCAAAAUCAUAUUCAGCAAAAAAACCGUUGCCAUUUAAUUAAUCUUUUAUAUUAAGGGAGAUUAGGCAAUUUAUUAAAUAUAAAUCCUUUAACUCGAGUGUUAUCAGAUCUUACCUUGAAUUUCUUUGGUAACAAAAAAAAGUAAAUUUAGCUAUUCCAUUUUUAAUAGUUAACAGUUCAUUUUCAUUACUAUGAUAAUUCUUCUAUGCGGGUUUGAAUGUUCUGGUGGCAUAUCUACAAAUCUUUUCUUGAUCUGUUUUUAAGACUACACCCCAGUAAUUAUCUGAAGCAUCGGUCUCAAGAAUUAAAUUAUCACUAGAAGUAGGGAAUCCUAAUCUUGGAAGAUUUUUACAUUUUUCUUUCGAUUUUUUUACUACUUUGGUAUGGAGAUCUUUCCAUGAUUUAGUAUUAUUCUUUUUUAAUAAUCCUUGUAAAGAUUGUCUUUCUUUAGCUAAGUUUUCUAUGAAACCUUCAGCAUAAUUAAGAUAUCCUAAAAAUAUUUGAAUUUGUUCUUUAGAUUCUAAUUUAUUUGGGAAUAGAUAUAUUUUCCAAAAAUAUGAGGUUGCAUCUCAAUUCCUGUUUCAUCUAUUAUUAACCCUAGAAAUUCUAUCUUGAGUUUCAUUAUUUCAGCUUUCUUUUUAGGGAGUAAUAUUCCAUGUUUCUUGCAUUUCUCUGCAAAAGAAACGAGAUGAUUAAUAAGAUAUAUCUUAUUAUCUGAAAAUAUAAAAAUAUCAUCUAAAUAAACAAUGUAGAAUUCAUGAAAUUCUUUGAAGAUUUGAUCCAUCCUUCUUUCAAAUAUUUUUGGUGCAUUUUUCAAUCCAAAAGGCAUUACAAUCCAUUCAUAUUAUCCUUGAGGUGUACUAAAGGCAGUAAGUGGUAUACUUUCUACUUUAAGUUUGAUAUGUCAAAAUCCAGAUUUGCAAUCAAACUUGCUAAAUGUCUUUUUAUCGGUCACGGAGAUAAUUAAUGUAUCUUUAUAAGGUAAAAAAUAUCCAUUGAAUUUGGUAUAUUUAUUUAAUUCUUUGUAGUUAAUAACCAUGCGAGCUUUUCCUCAUUUAAUUUCUACAUGAUUUCUAACCAUAAAGGCUGGACUACUAUGAGGACUUUUAGAUUUCAAAUAAUCUUAAGUUCUAAUAACUCUUCAAUUUUUUUUAUCAAAUUCUUGUCCAUGUUCUUGCCCAUCUCUCAUAGGCUUAACUCUUAUGAUACCAUUUAGAUCUGUUAAUUCGAUCUUAGCAUAUGUUUAAUCAAUUUCUCAUAAUUGAAUUGGGUUUUCACCAAAAUUUUUAUCAAGUUUUUCUAAAAUUUUUUCAUAGUCUAACAUGAUUUGAAUGAUUUUUAUAGUGUAAUCAACACACUGACUGUGUCGAAAAUGUAAUUUUUGAGUUGUGCGCCUAACAAGGUUAUAAAUUCUCGGGGUAGUAAUGGAAUGAUUACAUGGUGUUUUGAGAGUAAUGGCUUCAUUAGUCAUUAUAUAAAUGAAUUGACGAAGGAAAUUAACUCCUAAAAGUAUAUAUGUUCCCAUAUGAUCAUAAGACCAGAAUAUAGGGAUACUUAAGAUGUAAUCUUCGAUUUGGAUUAAAGUCUUAAUCCUACAAGUCCCUAAGGUGAUCUGUUCAUCAUUUGUUCCUUAUCCUUUUAAAGGCUUAUAAUCUUUCCAAUAUGGUUUUGGAUAAAUCCUAGAACUGGCAAAACUAACUCCUAAACCAGUAUCGAUUAAAGCAUAAAACCAUUCCAGUUUAUGUUUAUAAUAUGGUAUAAUCACUUUUAUAUAAAUUAUAAAAGGAUUAGACAUAUCUUGAUAUGGUUUGCUUAAUUCCUUCAAUUGUUAUACUUAUUUCUCUAUCUCCUGUACAAUAAGGAGAGAAAUUCUAAAGAAAGUUCAUCCCUAAUAAUAAAGGAUUUAUUUCUGUUUCAUAAUAUGGUUCUAUGAAAAAAGGAAAGAUGAAUUUUGUUCCUUUUAUUUUUAAUGGUAUUUUACAAUAUUUUCUUAAUGUCUUUCUUUCUCUAUUAAAUCCUACAUAAGUAUGAGGUUCAAUUAGAAUUUUUCUUUCUAAAUAUUUAAUCAUUUUAGCAUCUACAUAAGAUUUUGUAGCUCAUGUAUCAAGGAUAGCAAAAGUCUCGUGCCAUGAUUUUCCAUUAUUAUAGUCAAUCUUAAUUUUUAGAUUUUGAUUAUUUUUUCUAAUUGUGGCUAAUAUUUCAUGUGAUGGUGGUGUCACAAGAUGACUACAUCUAGUAAAACUUUGGGUUCCUCUGAAUUUUGGUUCUCUUUUGGGUAUAGAGAAUGAUCUUUUAUGUCUUAUAAUGAUUCUUCCUUCUGGAGUAUAUUCUAUAGAUUUAGUAGUAUUUCCUUUAAUCAGAGUAGGUUGACUACUUAGAUUCAUUUUCCAUUCUUAUGAUAAAUAUAUUUCUCUCUGGAUUUCAGGAUAUUUUAUAUUUCUAACUUUACUAAAUAAUUUAUCUAUUUCAAUAAAAUAUUUAUUAGCAAACAUUUCACUAUUUGCUGAAUUUGUUAAUGCAUAUUUUAUGGCAUACAUUAUGCUAUAUGGAUAAGACCCCUCAUGCAUUAUAUCAAAGUAUUUAAAAUCAUGACAUAAGGUUAAUGUUUUAUUUAUAUUUCUAUCCCUAAGACUUAUAGAAUAUUUAGGAUAUAUCUUAAAUAUCAAUUUUUUAUAACUCAAGUUUCCUUGUAUUAUUCUAGGGACUGCAUGUUUUCGAUCUUGUAUUCUAUUAUCUAGUACUGCUAAAAUUAUUGGACUAUCUAUUCCUUCCCGAAAAUGAGCUUUUAUCAUAAACUGAAUUCCUCCAAUAUGAUCAUAUCCAAUUUUGGGUCUAUUGCUAGAUUUUAUCUUACUGAUUUUAUCUUCUAUAUCAGUCUUUAAUAAUAAUGGUAUAUUUGUAUUUCCCUUAGCAUACCUAAUUUCAAUAUGUUCUUCUCACACAGUAGCACUGAAAUACAUAACAUUUUUUCUUUUAAUCAUGGUGGCAAUUCCUAGAGCUAACUUAUUGACUGAAGUCAAGGAUGAUUCUAAUCAUUUUUUUGUUAAUCUUGAGGUAUUGUUUUUUUUUUUUAUCAAAGAUUAAUUCUUUGUUAAAAGAACCUUGUUCUUCUAAUUCUUCAUCUUGAUAUAAAUGCUUAUUAUCUAAUUCUUCUAUACUCAUUCCAAAUAUGAUUUUGAAUCUGAGCUACUUAAAGUUUCUUCAGAAAGAUAAUAUAUGCUAUCACUUUCACUAAUACCUUCACUAUCUGUGAUUAAUUCUAAAUCAUUAAAAUCCUCAAACAUUUUUAUAUUUUCUUUUUUCUUUUUAGGACAUUCAUUUGUAUAAUGCCCUUCUUCAUUACAUAACCACCACUUGCAUUCUUUAACUACAUUGGUUUUAAAUCUUCUUUUAAAUUUAUUUUUCUUGUAGAAUUUCUUCUUAUAUUUAUUUUUCUUGUAAUAUUUCUUGUUGCCUUUAAAGAAUCUCUUCUUUUUGAAUUUAUUCCUAUAUUUAUAAGUUUUAUCUGAACAUCCAAAUCUUGGUGGAUCUUCUAACUUAGAGCAAAACAAUCCUUGAUUUAGCCUUUUCAUAAGUCUGUUAUCUCUUAUUUCAGCACACCAUUCACUCAUUCUAUUUCGAGCAAACCUAAUCUUAUUUCCUAAGGUAUCAGUCUCUGUUGUAUCUUCAUAUUUGUUGUUAUAUUCUAGCAUAAUCCUUUUCUCCCAUGGGUCUGGUAUCCUUAUAAAAUAUAGAUCUUAGUAAUAGCAUAUGCUACUUUCAUCUAAUUCACAUUUAUAAUAUAAUUCUUCAAAGCUACACGUGUAUUCUUCUAAAUAACAUAUAUUACAUAUUUCAAGCCUUGUUAGUUUUAUUACAUUUUCCAUCUUUUUUUCACUUUAUUUCUUAUUGAAAACCAGUUUCUCAAUCUUCUCCUAGGAAUUUUUUUCUUAUUUCAUUUUCAAAUCUAUUUAAAACUUGAUCCAAGCUUUCAUUUUGAUUAUUAUUUUCUCCAUACAAUAUUUUAUUUUUGUUAUUAUCGUUUAGUCCCAUAAACGAAUGUGACACUAUUCCUACAAAUGAAGUUUUAAGGAAUUCUAUACUAUUAUUCCUAUCUAUUUUGUUAAAUACAAAUGCCGUUUUCAUAGAUUUAACCCAAGCGAUAAUCGUUUUAUCUCUAUCUUUGACAUAGUCUAAAUCUAACCAUACUCCAUCAUGGUUGAUUGGUCUCUCUCUAUAUUUUCCUGGAGUUUUAUAAUUUUUUUAGGCUUGUUAACCCUAAAAUAUUGAUGUUGUGAUCUUUCAUGAGCUAGUAUUUCUUCUCUAGUAUAGGAAGCUCUAUUACUAGAUUCUCCUUGUUAAAAAACCGUUGGUUUUGAUUCAUUCAUUUUUAAUUGUUCUAUUCUAUUUUCAAUAUCUCAUAAGUUAAUGAGUACAUCCUCUUCCUCUUCGGAUUUAGAUUCUUCAUUGGAUAUUUCUGGAUUGUAUAAUUCUUUUAAUCCAUUGUCUACAUUUUCACUUAGCAUCCUUAAACUUAUUAAUUUUUUAUCUUAGUUUUUUGUUAAAUAUUGUCUAGAUAUUGCUAUCAUUUCUUUAUCUUUCUUUUCGUUGUAGUAAAUUAUGGUGUCUUGUAAGGUUUUAUUUUUUUUUCUUGAAUUACCAUGAGUAAUUCUUCCAUAUUGUUAUUUAUCUUUUGUAUUUCAAUCCUUUUGUAGUUUUCUAUGAAAAAUUAUUUCUAUACACCUCUCUCCUAAUUCUAAAUAGGAGAAUAGGAUCGAUGUUUAAAUUUCUAUUCUUUAUUAUUUUGAGUUCUCCAAUUCUAAAUUCAUGAGCUCUAGAUAAAUAAAAUUGUUCUAAUUGUUUAUCAUCUAAUAUCUCAAGUUUUGAAUAAUAAUAUUGUUUAUGUUUAGUUAUGUUAUCCUUUAUAGUAUUACUAUCUACCAUUAGAUUAUAUCCCCUAUUAUUAAUAAAAUAAACAAUUGUUUCUUCCAUUUUUAUAUUUUGAACCAAAAAUCUGGUUCUGAUACCGUUUUUGCAGACAAUUUUCAAUCCUAAGAUCCAAGUAAGGAUGUAAAUGAUUAAUCUUUAAAAUCUUAUGAAUAUUUUACAAUUUUGCUUUUUUAAAACACACAGUUUUAUGCUAGGUGUUGUGCAAUCUUUUGUAAAAAUUCAUGAACCAAUACUAUAUUGACUUCUCCUAAAAUGCAUAGGUUUGUUAUGAAAUUCUAAGUGUACAACCCAAAAAGUGGGGUGAAUUGGGUUUUUAAAAAUUUAAGCAAUUAUAACCACACAAAAAUUUCAAUUAAUGUCUUAUUUGAUUCAAUAACAAUAAUUUUAACAAUGAAUAAAGUAAAGAGAUGAGGGAGAAGAGAGCAAACAUGAGAUUUUUACAUGGUUCAGCAAAACCUGCCUACGUUGACGCCUCCAAGCUCACUAUGCUUGAAGAUUUCACUAUCCAAGCAUUACAACCCUAAGGCUUCAAGAUGCUUACAAUUGAUUUCUAAGGUUUCCAUGGACCUUUACAUCCAGAGGUUCUCUCAAACCUCUUAACCAAGUGUUUCUCACACUUACAACCACUUAAUUGUGAUAUUGAAAAAAAGUUACACAAAUUUUCCACUCACACAAUAUAUGUGUUUACAACUAAAAGCCUAGAGUGUGUUUCAAUGAAAGAAUAAAAACAUUUAAGCUCAAGACAGAUUAAACAUGCAAAAGUAAGCUCAAUGCCAAUUUUUGAAUUCGUUAUUGAUUGAAUAUGAUUAAUCCUUUUGAUAGUUGGAGCUGAAAACUAGCCGUUAUUGACUUUCUGCACAAGGUCGGAUCAUCGUUAAUACUUAUCGGACUGCUGUUUUGACUUGAUCAAGUUACCGUUAGGCGAAAAUCUAAAUUUUCGGAUCACCAUUUUCGAGACAUUGAAUUGUUGUUAGUUUCUAGUAACAUUGCGAGAAAAUAGUUGGCUUACCGUUUUCAAAAUGUCAUAUCGUCGUUAGUUUCCAAAUCCAUUCGAUGUCGGUUAGCCAUUUGCUACAUUAACUGCUACAUUGAAACUAUUUUUUAAAAUUAUAUUUUUGCCAUGCUUUCUAUAAUUAUACUGUAGCCCAAAUCUUCAUAAUACUUUACAAAUAGGUCCAUUUUCAGAGUUUCAAAACAUACUUUUUAUUUCCAAAACUUUAUGAAAUUAUACUAUAACCCAAAAAUAUAUAAAAUAUUUCAAAUAGGUUCAUUUCUAGAAUUUUAAAACAAUACUUGUUGAUUUCAAAGUUCUCAAAACUUUUUAAAUUUAGAGCAUUAACUUCAAAAUAACCAAUUUCAUAAAAUCAUUUUUUUCAUUAAGAUUUAUGAAAAAUGACUUGAGCUUUUAAAUGCUUAAGCAUGCAUAUAUUUAAUCAUACUAGCUUUACAAGAAAUGUAACAAGAGAAAUCACCUAAGCUAGUACCUCUAAUGCUUGUUCUUGACUUAGUGAGCUUUUUACCUUCGUCUAUUUGAGUGCCUUGAACUUGAUCACACACACACACACACACACACACACACACACACACACACACAUAUAUAUAUAUAUAUAUAUAUAUAUAUAUAUAUAUAUAUAUAUCAUUUUAUCCUUUUAUCCUUAACACGUGGUUUGUUAUUAUCAAAACCCAAGUUCGUACAACCGCUUAGGCCAACAUGUUACUCCCAAUCAAUUGACUUCUGACAUGACUACUUCCAAAAUGGCUAGUACCAAAAGGGAAUCCUUCUGGGAUGAGAAUUGAAAAACAUGCCUCUUCUAGCACUAAAAUUACUCCUUCCACCUAUAUUUCCACUAUAAUGUCCUUAAAAUCCUCCGGCAUAUCCACCUCUUUUAGUAUUGCCUCCUAUUUGUGCAUGAUAGUAAUUAAUUAUGCCAUAGUUAUUAUGGUUAGCAAAGUUAGCACAAUUUGCAUUGAAUAUGUGUUUUUCAUUAUGACUUUGUUCAAGUCUUGCCUCUUGAGUAAGCAAUAGAGCAUACGCACCAUCAUAAUAUAACUUGCUAGCAGUAAUAAAAGUAGAUAAAUGCAGAUGGCUAGCUCCAAAACUAUUGAGAAUUUGUUAAACAUAUCUUUAUCAGAAAUAGGACUACCAACACAUGUCAAUUUAUCUGCUAUUUAUUUAAUCUUUAAGCAAUACUCUUCUAUGCUUAGUGACUUUUUUUCUCAAAGCAUUCAUCUCAUAUCUCAUUUGAAGAAUCCUACCCUCAUAAUGUUGCCUAAACUUUUUCUGUAAUGUUUUUCAUACAUCAAGUAAGGUGUUAUAAGAAUGAACAAGACCGAGAAUACCUUCAGUGAUAGAGCUGAGUAACUAGCUAAGUAAUGUGUGAUCUUGAGAUCUCCAAACAAUGAACUCAGGAUUUUCAAUCUGUUAAGUAGAUGCAGCAACUGCUCUAGCAUAGCUGAUGAAUCAAUGAAUUGAUUUGGUGCUUCAUUUUCUCUAGUUAUGUAUCCUUCGGUUUCCUCUUAUAAAAGCUAGAACUUGAUUUUGCCACAGCAUGUAAUUUGAUCAAUCGAAUGUGAUUGGAGUGAUGAAACAGAAUGUUGUUUGCAUUGAUUGAUUUGUAGAGAUUGCAAUUGAAUUUGUGCUUACAUUGCUUGAGCUUGCCAUUUUGGCUCAGAUACCAUGAAUAAAUUAUUGGAAGUUGAGUUAUAGUUGCUGUUUAACAGCUGAGAAAAUAGAGGAAAAUUCUCUGGAAAUUCUAAAUGUUUCCUAUUGAGCAAACGAAAGAUUAACAUACUAUAUAUAUACAAGUUUCUAAAUUGUUUCUAGCUAAUUUACAGUACAGCUAAUCAAUAGAUUUGAUCCAAAGUAAAACUAAUUAGUUUCACACAUAAGGAGCACGUGAAUCCAUCAUCGUUGCAUAAUCGAACAUGUUGACUUAGCUGCUGACUUGGCAUUGACAGCUGAUUUGCUUCUUUUUUGUAACUCUGGAUAGUGUGCUUUCUUCACAAGUUUCCCCAAAUCUCCAUUAUGUACAGCUUCUGCAAAAAUUUCCUAACCAAACCAUUUAUUUGUAAUUUCCUCUUGUGUUGGCCCUAUGCCAUCAUCAAGUGGUACCGUGAGAGGAUUUCCAUCUAGAUUACCCUGAUCUUUGUCUGAAUCAUAACUAGUAUGCAUAGUGUUUUCAUCCUCAUCACCCUGCGCAGCCAAAACAAAAUGCUUAACAUUACAUAUACAGUAAAACCUCUCUAUAGUCAUAUUGUUGGGAUUAAACUAAUUUUAUUAAUAUGAAGAUGUUAUAAACUUAAUGGAAAUUCAGUGACAAAUCUAUUGAUUAGCUGUGCUACUUUGAUAAUUAAUUAAUGAAGCAUGUCAAAUCUAAUGCAUUGACAUUGAUAAAAGAGGUAAACAUAUAAUUUAAAAAACUAGUACUUAUAUCUAUCAUCUGUGUAGUAUUGGGAACAUGCAAAGUCUUCUUAUUGAAAAUCUAAAGAAUAAAUUAUUAUCCAAAAUAAUUUCAGAAAAAUAUUAUAUUUCAUCUUAAAUCUUUCAUGUAACAUAGCAAAUUUUUUUUUUUUUUGCUCAAUAUACAUAUUAGUAAUACUGUGUGGAUGCGUGUUCCUUAAGAUAUGCUCUAUAAAAGUUGUUAACUUAUUACAAUGUGAAGUUUGUUCUUAUUUAUAAUUGGCUUAAAGCAGGAAUAAGAUUUUUUGUGACUAUUGGACGUUGUUCUUAUAAAAUGUAUCACUACAGAGAGAUUUUAUUAUAAUUCUAAACCGAGAAAAGAAAGUGUAAUCCUAAUAAAUCACCAUCGAUUAGAGCUAUAAUGAAUUAAGCUUUACAAAGAAGAAGAAGAAAGAUUACAAUGUGAAGGCAACAAGAAUCAUGACAAAGUGAGAAAAAGAGAGGCCACAUAAGCCCCAAGGGAAAUUGAGAUUUUAUAACACAGCCUAAUUGCAGAAAGCAUAGGCGAAAAACAGGUGCUUGAUUGCAAACAUGCACACGCGCGCGCGCACACACAAUUUGACCACAAAGACCGCAUACCUUUGAGAGUUGGUCCUCUGGGGCAUAGGCAUUUUUCGCACGUUUUCGUGCUUCCUCCUUUUAUGGCCACGUAGUUUUCGUAAGCUUGAUCAAGAAACUCCUCCAAUUGUUCAUCAUACCUAACACCAAAAAAAUGUCAUAAGAUCACAAAGGCAUAAGUUGAUAGAUAUAUUUGUCAAGAUAAUGCGACAGAAGAUAUAGGUAGAAAAGAAUUACUUUCUGCAUUCUUUAUCAGAGUCACUGUCACUGGACAAUUGCUCUUGAGUGUCUCUAUCGGGUCUCUCAUCUUCACAGCCCUCUGCAGUAGCAUUCUCAUCAUCAUCAUCAUAUUCAACAGCAGCAAGAUCUUUUUUACCCUAAACCGAUCAUUCAAGUUUAUAAAAGAAUGAGAUACUUGCCUUAGACCACACUUUUGAAUUGGAAAAAACUAAUAAAUCAAAAUUGCAACUAAUAUUGUCCUACCCAGCCAUUUUUCAUUUAUCCUGAUGUCAAGUACACUACAAUCGAUGAGUACCUCAGUCAGUUUGCGUAACCCUUCUCUGUUGAGUUGUAGCUUGCAGGAUAUUGGGAAAUAAAUAAUUGGCUUGUUGCCAUCUUUGGUUUGUAUCUGUAAACAUUAUGGUUGUUGGCCUUACCUUCUUUUGGUUUUCUAUGGAAUUUGUAGCACCAUAUUUUGUCCACUAUGUCAGUACACCAGUGAUUAAACAAAGUAGUCUCAUGUGCUUGAUCUAAAAAUAAUUAUAAAGUCACCAUGUGGUUGAUCUAAAGAUAAUUAUAAAGUCACAAACACAGAAAAAUUAAAAGUAAUUCAUAAACAUUUGUCAUGUGAAAUUUACUUAAUGGAAGAGAAAUUCUAGGAAACAACUUUAUGGUGAGAAAACUCUAAAAAUCAAACCGAAAGAUAUAUAAUAAAUAAUUUUAUAAGAAUUAGGCUAUGUUUCAAAUAAUAUCACAUAUAGUAAAUUUAUGAGUUGUCGCUCAUCAUAACUCAAUUGUUUCACAUAUUGUAAUUCUUUAAUUUUGAAUAACAACAUAUGUUUCAUAAGAUUUAAAAUGGUAUGACUCAUUUUAUAAUAUUUUUAACUGAAUUGAAAUUCUGCAACUAUAAAAAUUGAAAAGAAUGAACUUGGCGGUAUUACGCUUAUAGUAUUGUUUCUUAUGGUGAACCAAAAGCAAGCCAAAAUUACGCUUACAUCAUCUUACUCUACCGUAAAACUUAUUUAUAAUCAUAACGGUAACACUAAAUUAAUUUUAUUACUGUGAGAGUUUAAUAUUUAAUAGAGGUGUAGUUACAAAAAUUAUUAUUUUAACUUAAUUAUUUUUUGUGCAAGUGAUAUAGCGAUAAAAUAUGCACUAUAUUAAUAACUAAUUAAUACAGCAUGUCAAAUUCAAUGUACUAACAAUGAUGAAAAAGAUAGGCAUAGUUUGAAAAAAACUAGUACAUAUAUCUUUAUAGUGCUGGAAUUAUGUAAAAUCAUCUUGAAAGUCUAAAGAAUAAAUGAUUGUACAAAAUAAUUUUAGAAAAAUAUUUUACUUCAUCUUAAACCUUUAACAUAAUAAGGGAUAUAUUUUUUACAAUAUACCGAUAAUUAUUACUAUUAGAGGUAACUUUCUUAAAACCGGAUUUAAAAAAAUUAUAAUUUAUCAUAAUAUAGAGUUUAUUCUUAUUUAUAAUUAUUAGGCUUGAUAAUCGACUGGGUCGUGUUUGGGCCAUGCCAAGCUCUAGCCCAACUAGGGGUGGCAAAACGAAUAAACGAAUCGAAUUUGAAUCGAAUCGUAAACGAAUUGGGUCAAAAUUAUAUGGAUUCGGAUUCGAUUCGUUUAUUAAACGAAUUGAAAUUUCAGGAUUCAGAUUCGAUUCGGUUAUUAAACAAAUAUUCGGUUCAAUUCGUUUAAUUCGUUUAAUAGAAUUGAUAAACGAAUCGAAUCGAAUCCGGAUUCGUUUAUUAUUCGCUUAUCCUUUACGAAUCCAUAACGAAUCGAAUCGAAUCAGGAUUCGUUUACAAUUCAUUUAGAAAAAUAUAAUUAAUAAACAAAAUUAAGCAAAAAAAACACAAAUUUAAUAUCCCACAACAAAAUACAAAUAAUUCAAAUCAUAUUAUACAGUCAUCCAAAUACUAAAUUACAAAUCCUUAAUAUUACAAAUAACAAUAAUUCAAAUUCAAAUUAUAAAGAAAUGUAAUUUCUUUAAUUCUCUUCAUUUGUCUUUGUCGCCUUGAAAACAAAAAUCCUACACCAAAAAGUAAAUAAAAUGUUAUUAACAUGCUGCAAUAUUGAUAAUAGUCAUUGUAAAAUUUCAAAAAUCAAAUAUAUAGCAAAUUUGUAGCAUUUUCAAGAAAAUAAUAAUUAAACAAGAUAAAAACUUUACCUACCACACUCACACACUGUCAUUUGGAUCAUUGGCACUCUCUGCAGAUGGAGCACAAUUAGUGCUCAUGUUCAUAAUGUUUUGAGUAAGUUGGUCCACAGUGACAUCCAAAUUUUCUACAAUAAUUUUAUAAAAAUAAAUCUUAAUUAGAAACAAUUGCACAUAAUAUUAUAAAAGAAAAGUAAAUAAAUUUUAUGAGCAAGUUUUACCAAUCUCUCCAAACUUCCAAUCUCUAGUAGUAAUAAUUGCUUGAACUAUCUCUAGUAGUAAUAAUUACUUGAACUGUCUCUGGCUUCAAUACACUUCAAAAUUGAUCAAGAACUCAACCGCCAAACAACAACAAAACAACAGUAAAACAGCAACAAAAUAGCAGCAAAAUAGUAGUAAAACAACAACAAAAUAUCAGUAAAAUAGCAGUAAAACAACAACAAAAUAGUGGAAAAAUAACAAAAAAAAUGGUAGCGAAACAGCAGCCAAACAACAGCAGUAAAACAGCAGCGAAACAGCAGUAAAACGACAGUAAAAUAGCAGUAAAUCAGCAACAAAACAACAGCAAAACAGUAAUAAAACAGCAACAAAACAGCAACAAAACAACAGCAAAACGGUAAUAAAACAGCAAUAAAAGGCAAAUUUUCAGUGGUGUACCGUGAUGGUGGGUAGUUAGCGCGGCGGGAAGUGGUGCUGGGGAUGAAAACCUUCAAAUUUUAAAAAGCUUUCAAAUAAAUUUAAGGAUAAAAAAGUAAUUUAAUUAAACGAAUAAUAAACUAAUCGACCCGUAUUCGAUUGGUUUAUGACCGAUUUAUUAAACGAAUAAACGAAUCAAAAUUUUCAAACCUGCAUUCGAUUCGUUUAAUUAACGAAUCGAAUCGAAUUCACCCAUUUAUUAAACGAAUCAAUUUUUUCAAACUCAAACCCAUUUAAUUUGCAUCGAAUCGAAUCAAAUAAACGAAUCCUGACCCAUAUUGCCACCCCUGCCCAACCCUAUGAUUAAAAUGAAGGACUCUAAUACUAAAAAGCUUGACCCUUCAAACUAAAGAACAACCUGGCUUUAAUAAUUUUUUUAUAUUUUAUUUUUUUUUUUAAGAAUAUGACUCCUAUUCUUCAUUCUUUAGUAAUAUUAUUAUUAUUAUUAUUGUUCCUUUUUUUUGUUGGAUUUGUUUGUAAGGAAUUUAAUAAAUUAUUUUUUAUUUAACUUAACAACAAUAGAACGUUUAACAAUCUAACAAAAUUAAUAUAUUAACCAAGCAAUAGGUAAAUAAAUCAAAUACAAAAUAACAAAAUUAAUAUGAAAUAGAGAUAAAUAUCCCUAAAGUGUAGUUGUGACCAUCUAUGUGUAUGUGUGUUUAAUAAUAUUUUUAUUUUAAAAAUUAAUUUAAAGAUCAAGAGUUGAGUUAAAACAUUUUGGUAAAACUUUAACCCUAACCCAAAUGUAAUUAGGUCCUGAUUCCUUAAGCCCUAACCCAACGUUUAACCUUUCAAAUUCGAGUCAAAACCAUUAAAAUUAAGAUCGAAUCAAUCAAGUCGAGGGUCGGAUAAAACCUUUUUGUCAUCCUAAAAAUUACCCUAAAUUAAAAUCAAAAUUUUUUAAAAUUAUAUAAAAAUUAUUCUUAUACACAGUAACAAUAUACGACCCAACAAGAAAUGAACCUGGACGCAUUAGGGCUUUGAUCCACAAACAAACUUUCAAAACCCUCUUAGACCUCAAGAGCAUUUUAGUCCAUUUAAUCAAAAGUAAAAGUGCGGCUACCAGCUAACUCUCCGGAAUUGAACUGAACGAGUUUCAGAAAUGGCAUCGAAAAGCAAGAUUCUAUCCAUCGGCGGGACAGGGUAUAUCGGUAAAUUCAUCGUGGAAGCUAGCGUGAAAGCCGGCCACCCGACGUUCGUGCUCGUGAGGGAAUCCACAGUCUCUGGUCCUUCCAAAUCUCAGCUCCUCGACCACUUCAAAAACCUCGGCGUCAAUUUCCUUGUCGUGAGUUAUCAAUUUUUUUUUUCAUUUUUUUAAUUCCAAAUUUUGACACGUGGCGGUGUAGCCUCUACUUGAUAGACUUGGUUUUUUUUUUUAAUUUAAUUUUUGUGGGUGCUGUUAUUAUUAUGCAGGGAGAUGUUUUGAAUCACGAGAGUUUGGUGAAGGCGAUAAAACAAGUGGACGUGGUGAUAUCAACAGUUGGUCACACUUUAAUAGCCGAUCAGGUCAAGAUUAUUGCUGCCAUUAAAGAAGCCGGUAACGUUAAGGUAUGACAUAAUUAAUGUAAAUGUCUUAGAUUCCGAUCAGGAUUGUGCACUCGUGCACACGUGGUGAUUUAUUCUUCGUGUGGAGCUCGCUGUAGAGUAGAGCUCCCAGUUCCGCUAAUAAACACCCGUCACAUGCGCAAUUGCGCCUCAAAAUAAUUUAAUUAAUUAAUUAGGUAUAAACACCGAUGGCAUGAAAGCAAUUAAAAUUAGUUGAUGUUUAUAAAUUAUUUAUUACUCAGAGAUUCUUCCCAUCGGAAUUUGGAAAUGAUGUUGAUCGAGUCCAUGGCGCCGUGGAGCCAACAAAAUCGACGUAUGACGUAAAGGCGAACAUCCGCCGAGCCGUUGAGGCAGAAGGCAUUCCGUACACGUACGUAGAAUCUUAUUUUUUUGAUGGCUACUUCCUCCCUAAUUUGUUGCAGCCUGGGGCCACUGCCCCCCCUAGGGAUAAGGUUGUCAUCUUCGGCGAUGGAAAUCCAAAAGGUAACAUAAUUUAAUUAAGCUCUGUUUGUUUGGUAUGUAUUUCGGUGUUAAUGUUAUUGUCUGUUGUACAAUGGAUGGUCUUGCUUGGUACUGUUGUUGGAGAGCUGCAGUGUUUUGAUAAACACCUCUAUCCUUAGCUUUCAAGUUAAGUUGAUUUUAUACAACACUUGUUUAAUUAAAAACUUGUAAUAUUCUUACUACUUUGAUAAAAAAAAUAUUACGAUUAAAGUAUUAAUGGCACCAUAAUACGAAGUGAAUCUUAAGUGGUCAUUAUAGAUUUUAAGAUAGAGUUUUAAGUGAUUACCAGAUACUUUAGCUGCUGAACCGCCACAUCAUGGUUGCCACACAACAAUUUCAAACAGAGCCUAAAUAACUUCAUUGCAAAACAGUUAAAUGAAUCUAACUUAGUUUCGUCGUUUGAUUUUCAGCUGUUUUUAACAAGGAAGAUGAUAUUGGAACCUACACUAUCAAAGCGGUUGAUGAUCCGAGAACCUUGAACAAAAACUUUUACAUUCAGCCUCCCGGUAAUAUUUACUCAUUCAAUGAUCUUGUGUCUCUGUGGGAGAGAAAGAUUGGUAAAACCCUCGAAAAGGAGUAUGUUUCAGAGGAGCAGCUCCUAAAGAAUAUUCAAGGUUGGUUAAAACUCUCUUUUUUAAAUGUAUUAAAGAGAGCCGUAUAUUCUCUGCCGUAAAUGUUAUUGAUCCUGUCUUCUCCAAAAUGUUGCAGAAGCUGCAUCUCCACACAAUUUUAUAUUAUCAAUUUAUCACUCUGCUUUCGUGAAGGGAGUUCAAACUAACUUCAAGAUUGAACCAUCUUUUGGAGUUGAAGCCUCGCAGCUUUAUCCUGAUGUCAAGUACACUACAGUUGAUGAGUACCUCAAUCAGUUUGUGUAACCCUUCUCUGUUUCCAGCUGCAGCUUGCAGGAUCUUGGACUGUUGGUAAAUAAAUAAUUGGCUUGUUGCCAUCUUUGGUUUUAUAUGUAAAAAUUAUGGUUGUUGGCCUUACUUUCUUCUGGUUGUCCAUGGAAUUUGUUAGACCAUAUUAUGUUUGCUAUGUCAGUGAUCAAAUGAAGUAGGCCAUGUACUUGAUUUGAGAGUAGUAGUUAUAAAGCCAUCAUGAUCAGGUGGGUGCGUAGGUUGGGCUUCUAUUAGGGUGCGUGUGUUGGGCUUCAGGGGCUUGUGAUAUGGGUUCGACAGCCCCUAACGGGCAGUCAUUAUAAAAAUAAUUAUAGAGUUACAAAUCUAUGUAAAAAGCAAAAAUUAAAAGUAAUUUAUCAAUAAAAAUAAUUAAAAUUAAUAAAAAGUAGGUAUGAUAAUUCAGAAAUUAAAUUAAAGAUAGAAUUCUAAAGAGUUGGAUAAUCCUCCAACUAAACUAAAGAUCUAGUACUUUUGAGAGCAAAUUUAAUUAAAGAAAAGGAUAAGGAAAAACAAUAGAAUAAUAAUAUUAAAAAAUUGCAAAUCUUGGUCUUUUUUUUUUACGAUGAUGUUGAAUUCUUAUAAAUUUAAUCUUAUCUAUAGAAUUAUUUAGUUACUGUAUGUCAAAAUUUCCUAUAAAGAUGAAGAAAAAUUAUAUUAGGAGAAGAUCCAAAUCCGUUUAACUGAUGCAUCAUCGACAACAUGAGUACAACAUUUUCGAAUAAACAAAAGAAACUCGUUUUAUGUGUGAACCAGUUCCAAAAUAAAGAGCAGACUAUUGGAAGGAGACAAAUACUACAAGAAGAACAAAACAUUCUACAAUUCCUACAUGAGCCCGCAACAAUUAAUUAUUAACUCGACAUUCAUUACACUUUUUCUUUAAUUUGACAAAGAAACCAAAAAUAAGAUAAAAUUGACUAAGAAAUAAAAAAAUGACAAAAAUCUUUUUGAAGUUUUGCCAGUUCAGCCAUGCACGCUUAUCUUUAUUCACUUGUUUCCUUUCUUUCCUUUCUUUCCUUUCUUUCCUUUCUUUGCUGAAGCCUUCACAGAUCCUUUACCUUUCUGAGCCUUGCCAAUUUUCCCCUUCUUCAAACCACCUGGCCUUGCUGGAUCCACGUGUCCUUGCAUCCUUUUUCAUUCGUGGAUCAACAAGAAUCUCCCCCUUUCCAGCUCUCUCUUGAACUCCUUGCUUUGCGACCAUGUAUUCUUUGGUAGGCCUUUUGGGUAUAGUUGUCUUGUAUAAUUGUUCAAUUUGAUUCCUCUUCGAACGAUCAGAGAUGUCCGCUUAGUCUGAUAUGACAUUUGCCUUCUUGCGAACCUUCUCAAGAUUUCGCAUGGCAACCCGUAUCUUUCGAGCUUUGGUCUUAGCCACCUUCUUGGCAGUAUGGGUGGGCGAUUCGAUUUUGGGAUAAACUUUUGGUUUCGUAUCGGUUUAGAUUAAAAAAUAAUAUAAAAAAAUAUUUAGAUUUUAAGGGAAAAAAUCCGAACCGAGACUCACCUAUCGAUUUUGGCUCGGUUUCAGUUCAGUUUUGAUUCUCCUAAUAGUUUUAUUUUGCCUUAUUGACUUCCGGUCAAUGACACUUUUGAAAAAUUUACAAAAAAAAAAAAAAUGGCCAUAACAAAAUUUCUAAAUGCAAAUAUUUCCUAAACAUUAGGCUAUACUAAAUUUUUUUAAAAGGUAGGGAUCCAAACGAUAUUAUCCCUCUACUUCAUCUUCAACCUUCGUCACUAGGGAUGGCAAAAUUCAGGUUCGGGUUCGGGUCCGGGUUUAGCCAUUCGGGAUCCGGACCCGGAUGAAUAUUUUCUGUAUCGGACCCGAAAAUAAACCCGCAUUUUUCCACUCCGAGUCUGGUACGGGUUCAACCCGAAAAAAUUCGGGUUCCCAGACUGCGGGUUUCCAACCCGAAUUGAUGAAUCCAAUUGAAAAAAAAAAACUAAAUUCAACUAAAAAAAUCAAAUAGAAAUACAUAUCCAGGAUUUUAGCAAAUCAAAGAAAAAUUAUUUCAUCUGGAAACUAAUUAACAAAAACAACAAUUUUGUUUGGCUGCCCAGAAUCAGCAACCCAAUGUGGCGGCUCGUUCAAAACAUUAGUGUUUUCAACAGAUUUUGGGGUAGGAAAAGCCAAACCUAUCUAGAACAAUGAAUUUGUAUUUUUGGGGGAGAUGAGAUACCUCACUGGUUUGUUGUGUGCGGUGCAGUGUAUCUGAAAUUUGGGGGAUGUGAGAAGGGGAGAGGGAGUGGUAACAAUGGUGAAAGGUCAAAACCAAUAGAGAUGUCCUUCAAAAUGAGCUUCACACCUGUAAAACAGUGAAAUAAAGGUUAGAGGUGAAGCCGGGAUACCCCGGUGUUCACACUCCGAUGCUCAAGUUAGCAAACUCAAGCUUUUAUGACAAAGAGAACUGGCUAGCCCUCUGUAAAUUAGGGUUUAAGGUUCAAGGAAACCUAUUUUUUGGAAUGUGAGUGUUAAUGGUGAGUGAGAGACCUCUUCGAGAAUGAAACAUAGGCGCCUUUAUAUAUGGAGUACCUCAGCUGCCACAUGACGUACCCUUUUUUGGCUAACGUCAUUUUUCCUUUUUAUGAUUUUUGGGUCGUUAUGUGCAUGUUCGCGGGGUAUCUCAUCUUUUGGAAACGUGGCGCGCGCUGGAGAGUGGUCCAGGGUACCUCUGCAGUAGCUGUCGGGUAGGCAGCUGAAGACCACUGUCCUUGGGACAAUGUCCUUCACUUUUGGUAAAGGUGACAGGCGGUUGUCCCCCUUUUUAACACGACAUUUUUUAUUCCUAAUUAUGACAAAAUCGAAUAAUAUCUUUUAAGAGAUGGAGACGUUUCUCAUGGUGGAUAUUUUCAGAGGAUUCUCUUGCAUCUGAUCAGCCGGGUUCCUCCAGUUAUGCAGGGUACCUCUAAUUUUACGGGGUACCUCUAUUUGCGCAGGGUACCUUGAAUCAUGCUAGGUACCUUAGAUUAUGCGGGGUACCUCAUAUUGUGUGGGGUACCUCUAAUUGUGCGGGAUACCUCUAUUUGCGCUAGGUACCUUGAAUCAUGCUGGGUACCUCAGAUUGUGCGGGGUACCUCUAUUUGUGCAGGGUACCUUGAAUCAUGCUGGGCACCUCAGAUUGUGCGGGGUACCUUUAGUCAUGCGAGGUACUUUUAAUCAGGCCAGGUACCCUCUAAUUGUGCUGAGUACCUCUAAUCAUGCAGGGUACCUCUAAUCAUGCGGGGUACCUCUAAUCAGGCCGGGUACCUCAGAUUGUGCGGGGUACCUCUAUUUGCGCAGGGUACCUUGAAUCAUGCCGGGUAUCUCAGAUUGUGCGGGGUACCUCAAAUUGUGUGGGGUACCUCUAAUCGUGCGGGGUACCUCUAAUCAUGUCGGGUACCUCGGAUUGCACUGAAAUUAUUCCAUUCGUUGACACGUGGCGUUAUGCUAUCUUUCUUAUUUUUCCCCCAAACAACAUCCCUCUAGUUUCUUUUGGCAAGAAGUUUUGGAGGCAAAAGAAACUUACAUAAAAAGUAGGAGCGACACGUGGCGAUAUGAUGUUUAGCUCGAUGGAUAACUAAAUAGAGGGCGCCUCUAGGGGUACCCUGAGAACCCAAAAAGGGAAGAUGGGCUCCAUUUCCUCGGAAAUGGCUACCACUUUGGACAUGUUGGAAAUGAUAGAGCUAAUUGAUCAAAAAAAUUUCAUCUAUUUCUGGGGAAGAACACCAAAUACGGGUAGAGGGUAUCGUUAGGGUACCCCACCAUUAUCCAUAGUUUGUUUUCUAGUGACUGCCAUGUAUAAAUCGCUCUGGUGAAGGCUUCAAUACAUUCUUUGGGCAUUUAAGAAGCAAUUAUUUGAUUAUCUCGGGAUCCACCUUAUUUAAGGGUAUAUUUCCUUCAUGUGCUUCGAAGAAAAAAAUAAAAUCACAGGGCCUUCUUCCUUGUAACUUCAGAGGUACCAUCGACAGAAGAACAUAGUCGACAAUGCUUUUAAGCGUAUCAUGAUCGAGGAAUGGAGUGCUGAUCUGGGGUUGGUGGUGCCAAGAGUGGAGAAGAUGGUAGAUGAACCGGCUAUCUUGAAGGCGAUUAAUGAUAGCGGGGCUCCCAACACAUCUUGGUCUGAAAGCCCAUUGAGAUCAGCUGAGGUACCUCAGAUGAGGUAUCUAUAAGGUACCCCUGAUACUAACCCUUGUGUUUUUGCUACUUUUAGCACUUUAUUGAUCCCUUCAUCCUAAGGGAUGAAGUUGAAGAUAAAUAUCCUGUUGUAUAACCUUGUUCGACAUUACUGACAAGAUGUAUGGGGUACCUUGUUAGCCUAUAUGGCUAUAAAUAUUGAUUUUGAUGAUAACAAACCACAUGUAUUUAUUGAGUAAAGAUUUAUGAAUUGUGCUUUUAUAAUGAGAAAAUGAUGUUAUGGAAUUAAAUCUUUUUGAACUAAAAUGAAAGUAAUUUUAAAAUCUUUGAUAGUAUUUUAAAUUUCGGAUUUGUACAUAUUUGAAACUAUUUAAAUGUUUUUAGGUCAUUUUGUAAUUUCACAAAGUUUGGGCGAAGUCAUAAUUUCAUAAAGUUGUGGGAUUGAGAAAGCAUUAUCUAAAAUUAUGAAAUUGGACAUAUUUGCAAACGUUUAUAACGUUUUGGGCCAUACCACAGUUUUAUAAAGUUUUAGGGUCAAAUUGAAAAUAUUAGAAAAUUUUCACUGUAGCAGGUUACUGUAGCAAGCAGCUUACCGGAUUCAGAAAAUCAGAAAUCCGGAUUCGAGGCAGUAAGCAUCCAGAACCAAAACGGCUUACCGGAUUCCUGAAUCCGGCAAACCGGUUAGGCAAAAUUUUGAAUUUUGCCUUAACGGUAACAUAAAUCCGGCUUACCGAAUUCUAUAAAAUGGCAAACUGGAUAGCCUAGAAUGUGAGUAACGGCUAGUUUUCGAGCUCAAGCUAUAAGAACUCAAAUCCAACUCAUUUUGAAGCUCUCCAACAAGCAAGAACAAAAAGCACACGUGAUAUCUUGAGCCUUCAACUUGUAAAACACAAUUCAUUGAAUCAUUCAUUGUUCUUCAUCUUUGAAUAUCUACUCAUUGAGUGAGUUUCAUUGUAUCUUUCAUUUCUUCAAUUCAUUUGUAAGAGUUUGAGUGUGUGAGACACUUGAGUGAAGAGAUUGGGAGAUAAUCUCUUUGUUGUAAAGGUUUAUUGACACCUCGAAGUCAAUUGUAAUCGUUGAAGCCUUGGAAAGGCUUGGAUAGUGAAAUCCUCGAGCUUGGAUCGCUUGGAGGCGUGGACGUAGGCGGGGAUUACCGAACCACGUAAAAAUUCGUGUGUUUGUUUCUCUUCUCCCUUACUCUUUAAUUAUUGUACCAUUAUUGAACUUAUUACUUUCAAUUAUUGUUAAGACAUUAGAUUGCUUGUUGUGUGGAUUUGUUAGGAUAAUUUUUAAAAAUCCAAUUCACCCCCCUCUUGGGUUGCACACUUGUAUUUCAUACCUCAUGUACCCUAAUGCUUGGAUAUCCCUUGAGCUAUCUGUUACUUCAUGGCGGAAUAACCCAAUUGCAUCAAACAUAUGGCGAUUCUUCCAGAUAUGCUUGUCGCUUAUCUUAAGCUUUCUUAGGGUUCCUCCUGGUGUAUCUGAGGAAUAGCUUUCUGGCGUGGGGUACCCUUAAUCAGCGUAUGGUGAUUUUCAUAGAAAUGCUUGCCGCAAAUCUUCACAAAACUUGUUGCGGUUGCUUUUGAGAGAUUGUGCGGGGUACCUUGAAUCAUGCCGGGUAUCUCAGAUUGUGCGGGGUACCUCAAAUUGUAUGGGGUACCUCUAAUCGUGCGGGGUACCUCUAAUCAUGUCGGGUACCUCGGAUUGCAGUGAAGUUAUUCCAUUCGUUGACACGUGGCGUUCUGCUAUCUUUCCUAUUUUCCCCCAAACAAUUAGUAAAGAGAGCUAAAGAACUAGCUUUAGUUACGAGCAGAAAAUCAGAAGUCAAGGAGCAGCCAAAGCACUUUUAAUGGUGAUGGUAAAACUAGAGAGGUAAUGCAAAUAAGUUUACGUUGAUUGGAUAUUCAGAAGAAGUAAUACGCCAUUAAAAGCAACAAGUUUUCCAAAAAGCCAACAAAGACAGAGACCACCACACCACCCCGCACUGGAUGAAAAACGAUGAAAGCAUGAUAAGUGGCAUCGAGUAAGCCACGUUCUCUCUCUCUCUCUCUCUCACUCGCACUCGCACUCGCACUCGCACACACUGUUACUAAAAUGACCAAAAAUAAGAUUCCCAUCAAAAUAUUUUCGAGUAUCGUUCUUGAAAGUGGCGGCGGCUGAUGAUGAUGAACACAGCCGCGAUUGCGAUUGGCGAAGGCGGCGUUCUGCCCGUAUCACAGCUAGUUAUCGGUCGCGGCAGAAAAGAUAAUGAAACGACGGCUGAUGAUGAUGAUGAUGAUGUUGAACAGCCGCGAAUAUGGGUAAGUGAUGCGACGAUGAUUUGAUUUGAUGAAGAUGAGCUGAACAUGGAAUAAGAGAGGAAAUGUUUGUGCGGCUGGGAAAGUGUAAUGAACUGCUAGGGCACCAUUUGGGUUUUUUUGCUUUCCUAUUUAUAUUAAAAAUAAUUUUUAAAAAUUAAUAUAUAUCCGGGUUCGGGUUUUGGAUGUACGGGUUUACCUAGACCCGGACACAUGCGGAUUCAGCAGCACCGACCACCCACAGACUUGGAUUUGAUUACAAAGUUGGGACUUAGGAUUUGGGUUUGUGGCUGCCGAAACAGAAAGUGAGAGAGUAGAAAGUAGAGACUGAGAGUGGUGCAAACAUGUGUAAUUUUGUGUGUGUGUCUAUAUAUAUAUAAUGUGAAAUUACAAAAAUGCCAUUAUAUCAGUUCAAUUCGAAUUUUGUAACUUGUGAUCCGAAAACUGAACCAAACCGAACCAUUUGGUUUGGUAUUUAUAUAUUCAGGUUUUUAAUUUAAAAAAACUAAAUUGAAAUUGAAAGAACUAAACCGAACCGAAUUUUUUUUUUUUUUGUUUCGAUUCAAUUAUGCCCAUCCCUACUUAGUAGGCUGGGUAUCAAUUUCUUUGAAUUGUGCUUUCAUUGCAGUAAUCUCCUCCUUGGUAAUAGGUUUAAUUGCUUGCUGAUGCCACCUUUCCUCUAGUAACAACUAGUCUAACAAGCCAUCAUCGUCAAACAUGUACCUAUUAUAAGCAUCAUCCAGAAUUUGCUCUCUUUGCUUUUUGCUUAGUGUCUUCUUUGCACAAGCUAUUAUCUUAGCUUUUGUAUCAAUAUCUUUAUCUUUUGAUUCACCAGAGGAUGAAUCAUCACCGGAAUAGAGUGGUGAAGGCCCCAUAGAUUAGUGUGAUCAAGUUCUAGUGUAGUUUUGGUUUUGAUUUCAGUAUUAGGAAAAUGAAGCCUAUGAAAUUUACCAAGCUAACAUGCUUCACAAAAGUGCUUUAAUACUUGACUAUGAAUACUUGAAGAGGAUAAAUGAGGAUAAAUAAAUUUAAAUAUACAUUAGAUUUUGAGGGUUGGGAUGUCAAAACUUUUGGUGAAAAAGAGUUAGUACAAGCAUUUUUAUUGAGAUUGAAAACAUUUCUUAAGAUGAUCAAUACUAGUUACAAAAUUGGAAUGAAAAAAAAAAGGCAACAUAGACAAAGGUUUGUUUAUUUGAUUGUAAGAUAGAAAAGACUUGUAUUUAGGUUGUGGAAAGGAUUUGAGCAGCAAUUUAUACAACCUUUUCUCAGCAAAACCUUCCUCUUCAAUGAAUCCUUCACAAAACAAAUAGAUCCAAGAAAUUCGACAAAUAAAUUGUUGUCAAUGGUAAGUUUUGAAAUGCUCAAUAGAUUCUUUGUAAUGGAUGGAACAAACAGUACAUCCUUAAGUAAAAUAUGUCUUAUAUUAUCUUUUUUUAAUUCUUUUUAAAAAAAUAAGUGAAUAAUAGUAUGUCAAUCUCAAAUAUCAAUAUGUACAAUUUUUAUUUGUGUAAGAAUUUGCAUCCAAUAAUCAUCAAUACAUAAUUGUCUUUUAAUUGAAUGGUUCUCACCUCCCUUCCAAACUUUGAAAAGGUAAAAUAAGAUCAAUCAUGUCAGUGGCAAUUAAUAUAAAGAUUACUUUUCUUAUUUGUAGUAACGUCCUCUGAUUAUUUAGCUGAUUUUCAAGCUACACAUUUAUUCCAUUUGAUGUUGAUAUUAGUAAAAUUAAUGUAAUAUUUAAAAAGGAAAAAAAUCCGUCGAGCUAAAAGCCGAGUAUAAAAUUGAACCAGACCCAAACCAGAAACGCACGCCAACAACAUGUUUGCGUCAGUCGGCCCAUGCCCAUAAACCCACCAAGCCCGAUCCAAAUAGAAAAAUGAAUUGGACACCCGAGAUAGCAGAAACAGAUAAGUAACGGUCGUGCUAUCCCCAAUCUCAUAUCUUCAACGGUAUCCAGCCAACAUCUCAAAGUGUUCAAUUUUUUUUUAAGCCAAAAAAAAAUUCAAAAUUUUCAAGCGGAAUCUGGGAAGAUAGCGAUGAAAAGCAAGAUUCUGGUUAUCGGCGGAACCGGAUACAUCGGUAAGUACUUAAGGUGCGUUUGAAAUUGAGGUUGAGCAACUAUAACUUUAAAACUGCAGCACUAAAAUAUUUGGUAAACACUAAUUGUUGUAACUUAAAAGCUAUUUAAUAUAAUUUUUCACUUGUAUAAUAAAAAAUUUAUUAUCUUUAAUAAUUUUGUCAAAAUUAUUAUUUAAAAUAUAUACAGUAAGAGAGAUUGUAACAUUUUCAAUCUUUGGUUUGAUAUUCUGGAAGAAAACGAUUUGCCGUUUAUGGAGAAAACUGCUAACCGUUUAAUUUCAGAGAGCAUGUUUUCUAUUCUAGAGAAAACGGCUAACCGUUUGGAGAAAACGGCUAACCGUUUGGAGAAAAUGGCUAACCGUUUGGAGAAAACGGCUAACCGUUUAAUUCCAGAGAGCAUGUUUUCUGUUCUAGAGAAAAUGACUAACCGUUUGGAUAAAACGGCCAACCAUUAAUUACAGAGAGCAACUUAUUUGACAUUCUGGAAUAAAACGGCUCACCGUUAUUGAGAAAACGGCUAACCGUUUAUUUCCAGAGAGCGUGUUUUUGCGUCAACUGGAAAAACGGUUAGCAAGCUUAGAAAUUUCAAUUGUCAAUCGAUGCAAACUCAAACCAAAAGAGUGUUUUUUUGAAGAAGUACUAUUUUUAAUGGUUGUAUUCUUUCAAAUAAACAUCUUCUUUAUUAAAGAUAGACAAACUAUUAUAUCAUAAUUAGAUUUUGCAGGUUUCAUAUAUGUUCUGGAAAUACAAUCUUAUUUUUUAGAGAUUGUAUUCAGGAUUUGAUAUAUCUUAGGGGUAAUUUGCCAUUAAAACUCUAUAGCAAACCAAGAUUGGUGAGGGUAAAUAAAACCUUAAAGAAAAAUGUGCAAACACGUCUCAAAUCCUAAGAAAUUUUCUUUGUUCUUUGCCUCCAUAUUCUUAAAAUUUGAAAAUUCACCCAUCAAUCUUUAAGGUUUUAUUUUGAUGCAAAUAGAGGCUGAGAAGAGUUUGACGUCAUUUCUUAAUCCUAGUGUCCAUCUCGAUCGUUUUGAUGGAACAAAUUUCACUCGUUGGAAGGAAAAAUUGUUCUUUCUUCUUACUGUUCUUAAAGUGGCAUAUGUUCUUAAUCCGAAAUUGGAACCAUUUCCAGAACCAAGGGAAGAUGAUACCGAAGUUGUUAAGGCUGUAAGGAAACGUCGUGAAGAUGAUGAAUUGAUGUGCCGGGGUCACAUACUCAAUACGCGUUCUGACAGGUUAUAUGAUCUCUACAAUUUUAUGACUUCUUCGAUGGAAAUUUGGAAUGCUCUUGAGUACAAAUACAAAACGGAGAAAGAAGGUACUGACAAAUUCCUUGUCUCUAAAUAUUUUGAAUUUAUUAUGGUAGACACACAAUCCAUUCUUGAUCAAAUACAUGAGUUAUAAAUUAUUGUUGCUAAGCUUCGAGAGUUAAAAGUUAAAAUUUCUGAAUCAUUUCAAGUUGGGACUAUUAUUGCUAAAUUGCCUCAAAGUUGGAAUGAUUAUAGAAAGAAACUCCUUCAUAGUAAAGAGAACAUAACUUUAGAAGAAUUGCAAAAACACUUGGUAAUUGAAGAAGAGACUAGGUCUCGCGAAUCCAAGGAUAAACAUGAUUCUACUAAAGUUAAUGUUCUUGAAGCUAGUAAAUUCUCAAAGAAUUUUAAAGUCAAGAAUGACAAGAAAUUUAAGAGGUCCAGCACACAAAAGUUUUCUGGAAAUUGUUUCUUUUGUGGUAAGAAAGGUCAUCGCCAAAGUGAUUGCAGAUUCAAGAAAAAAAAAGAAGAAGUGAAUUCCUAUAAAGCUAAUGUUAUUGAAAACAAAUCUGAAAAGAUUUGUGCUAUGGUUUCUGAAAUACAAAUUGGCAUGAUUAUCGAAACCAAUAUGGCUGAAACUAAGUCCUAUGAUUGGUGGCUCGAUUCGGGUACAACAAUUCAUGUUUGUAAUGAUAAGAAAUUUUUAUUAUCAUACAAAGAAGAAACGGAAGGACAAAUGGUUCUCAUGGGGAACAAUAAUGCAGCCAUAGUAGCAGGGAAAUGAGUAGUUGAGAUCAACUUCACUUCUAGAAAGAAAGUCACAUUGUAUAAUGUCUUUCAUGUACCUUCCGUUAGGAAGAAUCUUAUUUCUGCUAGUUGUAUGUGUAAGCAUGGGCUUAAGAUUGUGCUUGAGGGUAAUACUUGUAUUAUCUCAAAGAAUGAAUUAUUUGUUGGGAAAGGGUAUUCUUGUGAUGGAAUGUACAAACUCAACAUUAAUAAUAAUAAUAUCAACUUAGCUUAUAUUGUUGAGUCUUGUGAUGUUUGGCAUGCUAAAUUAGCACAUUUGAAUUUUAGAUCUUUGAAAUACAUGUCUGAGCAUGGUUUGAUUAAUUGCAAUGAUGUUAAAGGUCAUAAGUGUGAAAUCUGCAUCCAAGCUAAAUUAACUAAGAAACAUUUUCUUAAAGCCGAACGAAAUACUCAAAUAUUGGAUUUAAUAUAUACCGAUAUUUGUGAGUAUAAUGGCGUUUUAACAAGAGGAGGUAAGAAGUACUUUAUCCCUUUUAUUGAUGAUUGUUCUAGAUACACUUAUAUGUAUUUACUUAGAACAAAAAAUGAAGCUUUUGAUAAAUUUAAAAUUUUCAAAGCUGAAGUUGAGAACCAAAAAGAUAAGAAAAUCAAAAUGGUUCGUAGUGAUAGAGGUGGUGAAUAUUUCUCAAUUGAAUUUAAUAAUUAUUGUGAAGAAUUUGGAAUUAUUCACCAAAGAUCAGCUCCAUUUACUCCUCAACAAAGUGGUUUGGCUGAAAGAAAGAAUAGGAUCUUCACGGAUAUGAUAAAUUCCAUGAUCCAUAAUGCAAAACUACCAAAUAAUUUGUGGGGGGAAGCAUUACUCACUGCAUGUCAUAUUCAUAACAGAAUUACAUCUUUGAAAACACAUAUAUCUCUUUAUGAAAUUUGGAAAGGAAGAAAACCAAACUUGAUGUAUUUAAGGGUCUAGGGUUGUUUAGCUUUUUAUAAAAUACAUGAUCCUAAAUCAUCAAAGUUAAGUGCUAGAUGUAUAAAGAGUGUUUUCGUAGGAUAUGCUGAAAAUUCUAAGGCUUAUAGGUUGUUAGAUUUAGAUUAUAAUGUGAUUGUGGAAUCUAGAGAUGUUGAAUUUAUUGAGAAUAAAUUUCAACAUGAUUCUAAUAUUGAAUUAGAAUCAAUUAUUGAUCAACCAUGUGUUAAUACUCCUGUUACCUCCACUAACAAUAAUAAAAGGAAAGAGUCUAUGACAUCUUUCGAACCAAUGAGGAGUCAACGUGAAAAGAAAGAAAAGAGUUUAGCUCCGGAUUUUAUUUCAUCACAAGCACUACUCUUCUUGGUUGAAGGGGAUAGAAAGAAUGUACUUAACAAAGUACCAUUAUUGUUAAAUAUUGAAAAAGAUCCAAAGACAUUUAGCGAAGCUAUGUCUUCUAGAGACGCUUCUUUUUAGAGAGAGGCGGUAAAUGAUGAAAUUGAUUCGAUUAUUUCGAAUCAAACAUGGGUCUUGGUUGAUCUUCCUCCAGGAUCUAAACCAAUUAGCAGCAAAUGGGUAUUUAGAAGAAAGUACAAUAGUGAUGGUUCUUUGCACACUUUUAAGGCUAGAUUAGUAGCCAAAGGGUUUAAGCAAAGAAAUGGUAUUGAUUAUUUCGAUACAUAUGCUUCGGUAGCAAGGUUAACUUCUAUAAGAGUGCUAUUUGCAAUUGCUUCAUUGAACAAUUUGUAUGUGCAUCUAAUGGAUGUUAAAACCGCUUUUCUUAAUGGUGAUCUUGAUGAAGAAAUCUAUAUGGAACAACCUGAGGGAUUUGUUUUACCAGGAAAUGAGAAAAAAGGUAUGCAAAUUAGUCAAAUCACUUUAUGGUUUAAAGCAAGCACCAAAACAAUGGCAUGAGAAGUUUGAUUCGGUAAUUUUAUCUCAUGGUUUUAAGCAUAAUAAUGCUGAUAAAUGUAUAUAUUUUAAAUUUACGAAUGAUUUUGGUGUGAUUAUAUGCUUGUAUGUUGAUGACUUGCUUAUCUUUGGGACAAAUAUGCAAGGAGUAGAUGAUACAAAGAAGUAUUUAACUUCACAAUUUAAGAUAAAAGAUCUUGGUGAAGUAGAUACUAUCUUAGGUGUCAAAGUGAAGAAACAUAGUGAGGGUUACUCGUUGUGUCAAUCUCAUUAUAUAGAGAAAGUGCUUCUUAAAUUCAAUUAUUUGAAAUUUAAAGAAGCUAAUACCCCAUAUGAUUCUAGUAUUAAAUUAUUAGAGAAUUCAGGCCGAGUAGUAGCACAACUAGAAUAUGCUAGUGCUAUUGGUAGCUUGAUGUAUGCUAUGCAUUGUACGAGGCCUGAUAUAGCAUUUGCAGUUUGCAAAAUGUCAAGAUUCACGAGUAACCCUAGUGUUGAACACUGGAAAGCAAUUGGUAGAAUACUUGGUUAUCUUAAAAGGACCAUUCAUUUGGGUUUAUUUUAUAAUGAUUAUCCUGAAGUACUGGAAGGAUAUUCAGAUGCUAGUUGGGUAACCAAUACAAGAGAUAAUAAAUCCACUUCUGGUUGGAUUUUUACAAUUGUUGGAGGAGCAGUUUCCUGGGCUUCAAAGAAACAAACGUACAUAACUCAUUCAACAAUGGAAAGUGAGUUUAUAGCACUCGCAGUUGCAAGCAAGGAAGUAGAAUGACUGAGAAAUUUGUUGUUUGAUAUAAUGUUAUGGCCACAACCGAUGCCAUAUAUUUCUUUGUACUGCGAUAGUGAAGCUACAUUGUCUAGAGCUUAUAAUAAAGUGUAUAAUGGAAAGUCUAGACAUAUUAGCUUGAGACAUGAAUAUGUGAAACAAUUAAUAGCAGAUGGUGUUAUUAAUAUUGUUUAUGUUAGGACUAAUAAGAACCUAGCGGAUCCUUUAAUAAAAGGUCUUACAAGAGACUUAGUUAAGGAUACAUCUUUUGGAAUGGGAUUGAAACCUUUAAAUAAUAAAGUCACCAACGACGAUAACCCAACUAUGUAGUAGUUGUACCGCUACUCCAUAGUUAAAUGGAUAAUAACAAGUUGUUGUUAUGUGACUGGUUUGGCACCGAGUAAUAAAUAAUCACAUUCGAGAUAUUCGGUGCAAAUAGCUACGAGGUUGAGGUUGAGUAUUUAUUCUUAAUGAAGUUCAAGUCUUAUAGUAGCUAAAGACAUGAUUUGAAACUUCACCUAAGUGAACAUAAGAAAUGGUGCCGUUUCUAACAAGAUCAUGGUUUAAUCUAGUAAAUGUUCAUGAAUUCAAGAUAGAGCACAAGGCCGGAAUAGUGCUAAAUAUUGGAACACAACUUUGAAAAUCUGGGAUAGCUUAUAUGUGAUGUAUCUCCGGUAUUUACUUAAGAGACAAAGUUUAAUGCUUAGCACAUUAUUGUCUUGUAAAUGCUUUGAAAUACACUCACUAAUUAAAGGUUAAAAUCGAAAGAUAUCUUUUUGUAUGUAUAAGUUUAUCAUUAAUAAAUAUGAAAAAUAUUACAAUCUAGUGGGGGAUUGUAAGAGAGAUUGUAACAUUUUCAAUCUUUCGUUUGAUAUUCUGGAAGAAAACGGUUUGCCGUUUAUGGAGAAAACGGCUAACUGUUUAAUUCCAAAUAGCAUGUUUUCUGUUCUAGAGAAAACGACUAACUAUUUGGAGAAAAUGGCUAACUGUUUAAUUCUAGAGAGCAUGUUUUCUGUUCUAGAGAAAGCGGCUAACCGUUUGGAUAAAACGACCAACCGUUAAUUACAGAGAGCAACUUAUUUGACAUUCUGGAAUAAAACGGCUCACCGUUAUUGAGAAAACGGCUAACCGUUUAUUUCCAGAAAGCGUGUUUUUGCGUCAAUUGGAAAAACGGUUAGCAAGCUUGGAAAUUUCAAUUGUCAAUCGAUGCAAACUCAAACCAAAAGAGUGUUUUUUUGAAGAAGUACAAUUUCUAAUGGUUGUAUUCUUUCAAAUAAACAUCUUCUUUAUUAAAGAUAGACAAACAAUUAGAUCAUAAUCAGAUUUUGCAGGUUUCAUAUAUGUUCUGGAAAUACAAUAGAUCAUAAUCAGAUUUUGCAGGUUUCAUAUAUGUUCUGGAAAUACAAUCUUAUUUGCUAGAGAUUGUAUUCAUGAUUUGAUAUAUCUUGGGGGUAAUUUACCAUUAAAACUCUAUAGCAAACCAAGAUUGGUGAGGACAAAUAAAACCUUAAAGGAAAGUGUGCAAACACGUCUCAAAUCCUAAGAAUUGUUUUUUGUUCUUUGCCUCCAUAUUCUUAAAAUUCGAAAAUUCACCCAUCAUAUACAUACUACAUAUUAUUAACUUUUGUUUUAUAACUAUAGUGUUUUUUUUUUACCGCAACUGUAGUUUAAAAACUACAGCACCUCAAUCCCAAACAAGACCUUAGUGGAAGCGAGCGCAAAAGCCGAUCACCCAACAUUCGCGCUUGUGAGAGACUCCACUCUCUCCACUCAUUCCAAAUCCAAAAUCCUCGACCGUUUCAAAAAUCUCGGCGUCAAUUUAGUUCUUGUGCGCCACUCUUUUAGCUUUCCAAUUUUCCCGCCAAUUUUCUUUUAUUGUGAUUAAUUAAUUAAUUAAUUAAUUAAAGUAAAGAUUUUAUAUUAUAAUUUUGUUUGCAGGGAGAUCUAUACAGCCAUGAGAGCUUGGUGAGUGCAAUAAAGCAAGUGGAUGUUAAGGUAAUGAUUAACUUAAGUAAAUGCGUUAACUAAUUACUUGGGAUUUUAAAUUCAAAUGCGUGAAUUGUUCUAAAAAAUGAUUUAUGUUUAUUAGUCAGAGAUUCUUUCCUUCAGAAUUUGGAAAUGAUGUUGAUCGCGUGCAUGCCGUUGAGCCAGCAAGAACAUCAUUUGCCACCAAGGCUAAAAUCCGCCGAGCUGUUGAGGCUGAAGGAAUUCCAUACACCUACGUAGCUUCCAAUUUCUUCGCUGGUUUGUAUCUUUCCAGUUUCUCACAGCCUGAAGCCACAGCUCCUCCAAGGGAUAAAGUGGUCAUCGUAGGUGAUCGAAAUGCAAAAGGCAAAGCGCUUCUGGAUACAUUUACUCUGUACACGCAAUGUGUGGUUACUGUUUGGGGAUAAAAAAGGAGAUUAAUUAAUAAAGAAAAUGAAAUUAUUGAGGGAUUUGCUGAAGAGUUGCGUGCACUCCUCAUUUUUCUCCACCACUCAUCUUACUUGCAAAAUGCAAUGACCAAACUAUCCUCGCCAAAGCCUAGACAUUUACUUGUGUUCAAAGGCCAUUUAAGAGAGACAAGUACAAAAAAUUAUAAAGGAUAGUGAGCAAAAGAAGAAAAUGGAAGGAGGGGAGAAUAAAAAAUGGGAGUGGGGCGUUAUCUAGGGAGGAUUUUUAUUUUUAUUUUUUUUCCUCUCUUCUCCAUGGCAUCUCUUUCUCUCUUUCUCCCACUAAGAAAUUCUUUCUUUUACACUCUAUUUUACUUUUAUUCAAAUUACACAAAAAACUUUUGGUUUUAAGGCAAUGUUUAUUAAGCCACGUGAAUUUGAAAAAGCAGGAAUAAGGGGAUGAUUUUAACACAUUAAUUCACCAACAUUAAUUGGAAAAGAUCAGUUGCCACUUCGAAUCAGAGUAAUUUCUUCGGCAAUAGCCAAAUAUUGAUAUUUGAUCUUGACACUGUAGUUAAAUCAAUGUAACUGGUUUUGUCAUUUGAUCCCCAGUAAUUUUUAACAAGGAAGACGAUAUUGGAAUUAAUUCUAUCAAAGCGGUGGAUGAUCCGAGAACACUGAACAAAAUACUUUACAUCAGACCCCGUUGCAAUAUCUACUCAUUUAAUGAUCUUGUGUCUCUGUGGGAGGAAAAGAUUGGCAAAGCCCUUGACAGGGUCUAUGUUACAGAGGAACAACUUCUGAAAAACAUUCAAGGUUAGUUAGAACUAUCACUUUAUCAAGUGCAUAGAUGUAACUGACCGAUAAUGGAAUUUUUUUUCCUUCUCCAAAAUGCGAUAGAAUCUAAUCGGUUUCAACAAUCUCAAGAACACCUAUUCAUGGUUGUGUUGUUUGAAAUCUGUAUGUAUCAGUUUUCUUUCUAGAUCUCAGAUUGCUCGCAAGGAUGUCAAGUUUUGAUGAUGCUUGCCUGUUUUCCUGUGUUUACAGAAGCUUCAUAUCCACUCAAUAUGAUAUUACCUAUUGGGCACUCUGCCUAUGUCCUGGGAGAUCAGACCAACUUCGAAAUUGAACCUUCAUUUGGAGUAGAGGCAACAGAGCUUUAUCCAGAUGUCAACUACACUACUGUGGAUGAGUACCUCAACCAGUUCAUAUAAACCUUCUGAGAUGAGCAGCAGGAUCCUAACAAAAAAUUGGGUGGUUUCCAUCCCUGAUUCUAUGGUAUAAAGAUAGCGGCUUUCCCUGCUUUUGCCAGUUCAAUGAAGUUUGUUAGAUGAUGUUAUUUAUACUAUACUAGCAAAGAUCAAGUUGCCUUUCUUGUCAAGAAGCCAAGCUCUGGCAUUGGUUUAUGCUAGUUUUUCAUGUUUAUUACUUUUUUUGCAUUCAAAAUGAUAAAACUGCAGAGGUUGUUGCAUGCACGUCAUUUGUUAGUAGGGGUAUCAAUUUAUGAACGUAUGAAGUAUCUCUUCUGCAACGGCAUCCUCCUUAACUGUCAGUAGGAUCACAAUAAGUCGACCAACCAUCUACCGUAUGGAUUAUCUAUAAAUUGAAAUUGGUGUGUAUUAUGGAUCUGUCACUCUGCUGUUUCUGUUUUCUUUUCUAUUUUUACCAAGAAAGAAACAUUGUUAAAACUGAAUGGUUGUUAUCUCGUCUUGUUGUAAUGUUGUGUAUGCUUUCUAGAAAAUAAUGAAGUGCCAAAUAUGAAAAUACUAGUGGCUACCUUACCAUCCUUAAUAAGUUGUCUGAUUGUCACCGUCAACAAUCACUCUCAGCAACUCAUAAUCCAUUUAAGCAUAUUAUAAAAUAAUCAAUUUUGUAUUUGCACCAACUUUUAGUUUUAAAUGACAAUUUCGUUGAUCCCCACACUUCUGUACUAAUCAAAUCCACUGAAACUGGACUUUUUUUUCUUUUUUUUUAUAAUUACAUCGAUUGCAUUGGCUAUUGCAGGGAAAAGACUGCCUCUACAGGGAACUAAACUUUCAGAAUUGUUCUUAUGAGGGUUUGAAUAUGCUCUCGUACUAGGUCAAUGGCCUAUUGGUUCGAGACCAUUCACAAAGAAAGAAAUGAGUUUUGCUUGUAUAAAUGAAAGAAAUCCAAAUGAUAACUAAUGUAUAGUGGUACAUGAGAAAAAUAAUUUCAGCCCGUGUAAAGUCAAAAAGAGAAAAUAUUAAAAGAAAGGAUAAUGUCAUUGAGUUCGGUGAAGUGAAAGAAAAUGAAAAACAUGGGAUUUAGUCAAACUUAGUGUCCCAAUCAGCAGAAAAAGGUUUUAGAAACUCACCUCAAGUUAAGCCAACUAUUAGGAGCUUUAUUUAAUCAUGACUUUCUAAUGUAUAGUACUCCAAUACUAAACGAGGGCUACCUCUACGCUUGCAAUUGUAAAUGAAAUUGAGUUCGUGACGCACAAUGAAGUGAGCAAAAUGAGUUGAGAUCUGAGAAUAUAUUAAAGAAAAUAUGAAUCAAUGAAUUUUGGUUAAAAAAAACAAAUGCUGGUUCUUCAAGACCUGCGUGUAUUGUGUAAGUUUUGUUAGGAGAAGGAAAGCAUUUUGGUCUAAAACGCACUAAAUCGGAUUCAUUUGCUUGAUAUCUAAUAAGGGUGAAUUAACCACUCGCCCACAGCAAUUCAAGUCCCAAAAAAAUUAUUGUGGGGGCUAAAUUUCUUCUUUAAUUAUAACAAAUAAUUGAGUGGAGGAUAAAAAUUUAGGCCAUGUAUAACAAUAACUAAUAUAAACUAGUCCUAAUAAUAGUAUAAUUGUAAAUAUCAGUUGUAGUCUCAUACAAUAUAAGUUUAUAGAUUAUAAUAUCGGCAUAAAAAGAAAAAUGAUAUCUGACGGUCAAUCAAUAAAAGGACAAAAACUUGGAGUAACAUACCACAAAGUCAAUGUAGCUGGACAGAUGAAUAUAAUAUGUAAACAAAUUUAAAUGGGAUAAUACCAUACGGUACAUACAUAACAUUUUAAAACUGAAUUAAAAAAAUAAAAUUAAAACUGAAUUGGAAUUCGUAUGUGUAUCCAGCUACCUUGCAACAGUUGUAAGGUACCCUAACUUUGCAACAAUUUCAUCCUUCGUGCAUUCGGUCACAAAGUCCAAAUUAGGCACGUUUAAGAAUCGAACUGAAAAACUAAAAAAAAAGAAUCCGGCGAUAUUUGCGAACCGGAAACGAGCCAGCGUUAUGCUUAUGUCAUUUCAGAGAUAUCAACAGUCGUGCUUUCAGUCCUUAAACCUCAAGGGCAUUUUCGUCCUUUCACUCAAGCGUGAAACUGCAUGUAAGAACUGCUUCGCUUACACGCUCCAUGCACAUUUAAAGGCACCACUGUCGGAUAAAAAAUAUCCAUCCAUUUGAUCAUUUCAAAACAAAACGAAAAAAAAAAUCUCAGUAAUUGAACUGAACGAGUCUCAGAAAUGGCAUCGAAAAGUAAGAUUCUAUUCAUCGGCGGGACAGGGUAUAUCGGUAAAUUCACUGUCGAAGCGAGCGUAAAAGCCGGCCACCCGACGUUCGUGCUCGUGAGAGAAUCCACAAUCUCUGGUCCUUCCAAAUCUCAACUCCUCGAUCACUUCAAAAACCUCGGCGUCAAUCUUGUCAUAGUGCGUUUUCAUUUUUCUCUUUUCUUUAUUUUUUAUUCCGAUCAUUUUUACACGUCGAAGUGUAGCAUCUACUACUUAAUAUACAUAAUGAUAUUAUUAUUUUUUAAUUUUUUUGGGUUGCUGUUAUUAUUAUACAGGGAGAUGUGUUGAAUCACGAGAGUUUGGUGAAGGCGAUAAAACAAGUGGACGCGGUGAUAUCAACAGUUGGUCACACUUUAAUAGCCGAUCAGGUCAAGAUUAUUGCUGCCAUUAAAGAAGCCGGUAACGUUAAGGUAUGACAUAAUUAAUGUAAAUGUCUUAGAUUUCGAUCAGGAUUGUGCACUCGUGCACACGUGGUGAUUUAUUCUUCGUGUGGAGCUCGCUGUAGAGUAGAGCUCCCAGUUCCGCUAAUAAACACCCGUCAGAUGCGCAAUUGCGCCUCAAAAUAAUUUAAUUAAUUAAUUAGGUAUAAACACCGAUGGCAUGAAAGCAAUUAAAAUUAGUUGAUGUUUAUAAAUUAUUUAUUACUCAGAGAUUCUUACCAUCGGAAUUUGGAAAUGAUGUUGAUCGAGUCGAAGGCGCCGUAGAGCCAACAAAAUCGACGUAUGACGUAAAGGCGAAAAUCCGCCGAGCCGUUGAGGCAGAAGGCAUUCCGUACACUUACGUAGAAUCUUAUUGUUUUGAUGGGUAUUUCCUCCCCAAUUUGUUGCAGCCUGAGGCCACUGCCCCCCCUAGGGAUAAGGUUGUCAUCUUAGGCGAUGGAAAUCCAAAAGGUAAUAUAAUUUAAUUAAGCUCUGUUUGUUUGGUAUGUAUUGCGGUGUUAAUGUUAUUGUCUGUUGUACAAUGGAUGGUCUUGCUUGGUACUGUUGUUGGAGAGCUGCAGUGUUUUGAUAAACACCUCUAUAGUCUAUCCUUAUCCUUAGCUUUCAAGUUAAGUUGAUUUUAUACAACACUUGUUUAAUUAAAAACUUGUAAUAUUCUUACUACUUUGAUAAAAAAAAUAUUACGAUUAAAGUAUUAAUGGCACCAUAAUACGAAAUGAAUCUUAAGUGGUCAUUAUAGAUUUUAAGAUAGAGUUUUAAGUGAUUACCAGAUACUUUAGCUGCUGAACCGCCACAUCAUGGUUGCCACACAACAAUUUCAAACAGAACCUAAAUAACUUCAUUGCAAAACAGUUAAAUGAAUCUAACUUAGUUUCGUCGUUUGAUUUUCAGCUGUUUUUAACAAGGAAGAUGAUAUUGGAACCUACACUAUCAAAGCGGUUGAUGAUCCGAGAACCUUGAACAAAAACUUUUACAUUCAGCCUCCCGGUAAUAUUUACUCAUUCAAUGAUCUUGUGUCUCUGUGGGAGAGAAAGAUUGGUAAAACCCUCGAAAAGGAGUAUGUUUCAGAGGAGCAGCUCCUAAAGAAUAUUCAAGGUUGGUUAAAACUCUCUUUUUUAAAUGUAUUAAAGAGAGCCGUAUAUUCUCUGCCGUAAAUGUUAUUGAUCCUGUCUUCUCCAAAAUGUUGCAGAAGCUGCACCUCCACACAAUGUGAUAUUAUCAAUUUAUCACUCUGCUUUCGUGAAGGGAGUUCAAACCAACUUCAAGAUUGAACCAUCUUUUGGAGUUGAAGCCUCGCAGCUUUAUCCUGAUGUCAAGUACACUACAGUUGAUGAGUACCUCAAUCAGUUUGUGUAACCCUUCUCUGUUUCCAGCUGCAGCUUGCAGGAUCUUGGACUCUUGGUAAAUAAAUAAUUGGCUUGUUGCCAUCUUUGGUUUUAUAUGUAAAAAUUAUGGUUGUUGGCCUUACUUUCUUCUGGUUGUCCAUGGAAUUUGUUAGACCAUAUUAUGUUUGCUAUGUCAGUGAUCAAAUGAAGUAGGCCAUGUACUUGAUUUGAGAGUAGUAGUUAUAAAAAGCCAUCAUGAUCAGGUGGGUGCGUGGGUUGGGCUUCUAUUAGGGUGCGUGUGUUGGGCUUCAGGGGCUUGUGAUAUGGGUUCGACAGCCCCUAACGGGCAGUCAUUAUAAAAAUAAUUAUAGAGUUACAAAUCUAUGUAAAAAGCAAAAAUUAAAAGUAAUUUAUCAAUAAAAAUAAUUAAAAUUAA
Molecule: long non-coding RNA, 40855 nt
Filed under: Citrus maxima (pomelo)
Lineage: Eukaryota; Viridiplantae; Streptophyta; Magnoliopsida; Sapindales; Rutaceae
Description: long non-coding RNA (CMAX_LNC003344)
Source: RNAcentral